This 394-nucleotide ribosomal RNA is filed under the name uncultured Methanolinea sp. RNAcentral describes it as "bacterial SSU rRNA". It matches the Rfam family "Archaeal small subunit ribosomal RNA", at positions 946 to 1338 of the family's 1478-position model. Lineage: Archaea; Methanobacteriati; Methanobacteriota; Methanomicrobia; Methanomicrobiales; Methanoregulaceae. The record is from RNAcentral.
AAUGAUAUCGGGCUGAAGACUCUACUUGACUAGCUGAGAGGAGGUGCAUGGCCGUCGUCAGUUCGUACUGUGAAGCAUCCUGUUAAGUCAGGCAACGAGCGAGACCCACGCCAACAGUUGCCAGCUCGUCCUCCCGGGGAUGGUGGGGACACUGUUGGGACCGCCUCUGCUAAAGAGGAGGAAGGAAUGGGCAACGGUAGGUCAGUAUGCCCCGAAUAUCCCGGGCUACACGCGAGCUACAAUGGUUGGUACAAUGGGUAUCUACCCCGAAAGGGGACGGGAAUCUCCUAAAACCAAUCUUAGUUCGGAUUGAGGGCUGCAACUCGCCCUCAUGAAGCUGGAAUCCGUAGUAAUCGCGUUUCAACAGAACGCGGUGAAUACGUCCCUGCUCCUU